AAUAAAGUGCCUGAUAAAAGGACUAUUUUGAUAGAAUAGAUUAUGCAUUUAUGUCUUUAUUA
This 62-nucleotide transfer RNA is filed under the name Curculionoidea sp. 29 KM-2017. RNAcentral's name for it is "tRNA-Ile". The record is from RNAcentral. Lineage: Eukaryota; Metazoa; Arthropoda; Insecta; Coleoptera.